This is a non-coding RNA of Ciona savignyi (Pacific transparent sea squirt), 133 nucleotides long. The record is from Rfam. NCBI's taxonomy places the organism in Eukaryota, Metazoa, Chordata, Ascidiacea, Phlebobranchia, Cionidae.
AACUUUGUGCAGUGGCAGAAACAUAGCCGAUGAGUUUCAUCCGAGGCGGGUUUUUUACUAGUUGAAAUAUAUAUCGGCUAUCAAAGAAUAAUCGAGCCUAAAAAUGCCGAAAAUUUGGAAAAACGGCCGUCGU